RNAcentral lists this long non-coding RNA (1340 nucleotides) under Homo sapiens (human). RNAcentral describes it as "HSALNT0170635". Lineage: Eukaryota; Metazoa; Chordata; Mammalia; Primates; Hominidae. The record is from RNAcentral.
GCAGUCCCCCCCAUUACCCCUCCCUCCAGCCCCUGGUGACCGCUAAUCUAGUUUCUGUCUCUGUGGAUUUGCCUGUUCUGUACAUUUCAUAGAAAUGGAACCUAUUCAAUGCACGGCCUUUGUGUCUGGCUUUUUUUACUGAGCAUAACAUUUCCAAGGCUUGUCCAUUUUGUAAUGUGUAUCAGCGCUUCUUUCUUUUUUACUCCUGAAUAGAGUCCAUUGUAUAGUCUAAUACAUUCUAAUGUAUCCAUUGUUUGGAUAUAUGACAUUUUGUUUAUCCAUUCAUGAGUUGAUGGACAAUUGGCUUUUUCCCUCUUUUUGGCUAUUAUGAAUAAUGUUGCUAUGAACGUUCAUGUCUAAGUUUUUGUGGACAUUUGUCUUCAUUUCUCUGAGGUGUACACCUAAGAGUGGAGUUGCUGUUUGACCUUUUGAGGAAACAACAGACUGUUUUCCAAAGUGACUGCACCAUUUUCCAUUCCCGCUGGCAGUGUACCAGCGUUCCCCGCUCACGUCCCCCACAACCCGCUGUGACUGUUGGGCUUUUUAUUGCAGCCAGCACAGUAGGUGUGACGUCGUAUCACUGAGGGGUCAGUUUGCAUUUCCCUAAUGAUUCGUGAUGCUGAGCUUAUCUGACACUGAUUAUCUUCAUUGGAGGAAUGUCUGUUCAGUCCUCUCACUAUCUUGGUAGUGUCCUUUCAGACAUAAAAGUUUUAAAUUUUGGUGAAAUCCAAUUUACAUAUGUUCUCCCUUUGUUGCUUGUGCUUUUGUGGCUACAUUACUUGAUGGAGGACGGGAGCUGCCCGGCCUCCUGGGUCGUUAGAAAGGAAACCUCUUGGCGGACACGGUGGUCCACUCCUGUAAUUCCAGCACUUUGCGAGGCCGAGACCGGUGGAUCACUUGAGGUCAGGAGUUCGAGAACAGCCUGGCCAACAUGGCAAAACUCCCGACUCUACUAAAAAACUACAAAUAUUAGCCGGGCAUGGUGGUAAGCACCCGUAGUUCCAGCUACUCAGGAGGCUGAGGCAGGAGAAUCGCUUGAACCCGGGAGGCGCAAGCUAUGAUGAGCCGGGAUGACACCACUGCACUCCAGCCUGGGUGACAGCGAGACAAGAAAGAAAGGAAAGAAGAGAAGGUGAAGGAGAAGGAAGGAAGGAAAUAAACCUCUUUUCUGUCUGAGCCAUUUCAUUUUGGGCCUGUCUGUCCCAGAGGUUUAACUACACUAGUAUAGAGCAUCGUUUACUAAAGGUUUGUUGAGGUUUGUUGUUGAUUUGUUUCUACUUACACGAGAUGUCUUCAUUUUUACCCUCGGUCUUGAAAUAAAAUUUUGGUGCAUGUUCAUU